Molecule: long non-coding RNA, 1184 nt
Organism: Cryptomeria japonica (Japanese cedar)
Lineage: Eukaryota; Viridiplantae; Streptophyta; Pinopsida; Cupressales; Cupressaceae
Exons: 4
Source: RefSeq, a predicted model, not a curated record
AUAGCGGGAAUUUUUUUUUUGUAUAGUGUGCCCGCAUUUUGGGAAGGGGGAAAGGAAUAGUGGGAAAUGGUUUUUUUUUGGUAUGGUGCGUUCAAAUGAAGCAGUUUCGUAUGAAUGAAUCGUCCAUUCAUGAUGUUUUAAACAAUAAACCCUAAUGGAUCGCCCUCUAGAAGGGGAAGAUACGAUUAAUGUAAUCUCAAUCCAUUUUUGUUUCCAGAUUUUUUUGCUCUGCUAUGUAAUAGAGCUAAAUCUGCAUAUUUUUUAUGCAAAAUAUGUAUGAAAUUUUUUUGACAUUCGGUGAUUGGAGCUGUAGGUGGAUGUCAAUCCACUCACAGAUAUGAAUCAGCAAGAGGGUCCUGUGGAUCUUGAUUCUUGGUAACACCAGUUGUAAGAGACUACAGCCAAAACAAGAUUUACUAGAACAUGCUAUUUCCACAGAUGUUGAUUAGGGUUUUCAUUUUGGGCAUGCAAGUUAGAAGAGAUAUUGCUACACAAGUGAGGUAUGAUAGUAUAAAAUAUAAUACAAGGGUAACGUAGUAUUUUAUAACUUCAAAGAUUUUGCAGCACAAUCUGGCCAGGACUUCACAACGCAUCAUGGAAUCAAACUUGGAUCAGCAGCAGGACUUGCUGACAAGAUCGGGUAAAGGAAGGAUGCUACGAGGAGCGGGAUGGAGGUUAAUCUUAGACGACCGCUUUAAAUCGAUUUGCCAUGUUCGUCACUGGCCCUGCGAGCAAAAAUUGAUAUCAGAUUAAAGGAGGAAAGAAAUACUCAGGGAUUUAAUGCCUCAUGAAAAUCUCACUUUUUCUCUCAUGGCACAACCCUGAUGGGACAGUAUGUCGAGCAAUGGAAAAGUGGAGAUAAAGAUGUUGAGAUGGCACCUUAACUGCUAUUCAGACACCAAUUUCUACUAGCUUAUGUGGAGAUAUUAGCGAUUCAUCUUUAAUUCAUUGUUCUUUGCCUAUUCAUCUUUCUAUGUUCUUCAUAUUUGUCUUAAAAUUUGACAAUGUAAUACAUGAAAAGUUUGGUUGAAAUGGGACGGAAAUUUAUCCCUUGAAAGUUUUUGUGCUUUAACUAAACAUAAUAAGUGGUUAUUGCAAAUUUGCGUCGUUGCAAUUUAUUUACUACUUUGGUAUUACAUGGAUACCAAUAGCAAGGAUAAUUUUCCCUCUUCCUUUUCUUUUUU